GUCAGGAUGGCCGAGCGGUCUAAGGCGCUGUGUUUAGGUCGCAGUCUACUCUCGUAGGCGUGGGUUCGAAUCCCACUUCUGACA
RNAcentral lists this transfer RNA (84 nucleotides) under Anneissia japonica. RNAcentral's name for it is "tRNA-Leu". It matches the Rfam family "tRNA". From Rfam's summary of the family: Transfer RNA (tRNA) molecules are approximately 80 nucleotides in length. Their secondary structure includes four short double-helical elements and three loops (D, anti-codon, and T loops). Further hydrogen bonds mediate the characteristic L-shaped molecular structure. tRNAs have two regions of fundamental functional importance: the anti-codon, which is responsible for specific mRNA codon recognition, and the 3' end, to which the tRNAs corresponding amino acid is attached (by aminoacyl-tRNA synthetases). tRNAs cope with the degeneracy of the genetic code in two manners: having more than one tRNA (with a specific anti-codon) for a particular amino acid; and 'wobble' base-pairing, i.e. permitting non-standard base-pairing at the 3rd anti-codon position. Lineage: Eukaryota; Metazoa; Echinodermata; Crinoidea; Comatulida; Comatulidae. The record is from RNAcentral.